UUACAACAGCCGUUGUUUCUUGGAUCUCUUCUUGGAUAACUGUGGUAAUUCUAGAGCUAAUACAUGCAACUAAUCCCCGAUCGCAAGUGACGGGAGCACUUAUUAGACCAAAGCCAUCCGGCUUCGGCCGUACUUUGGUGACUCUGGAUAACAUCGCAGAUCGCAUGGGCUCGUCCCGGCGACAAAUCUUUCAAGUGUCUGCCUUAUCAACUUUCGAUGGUAGUUUCUGUGACUACCAUGGUUGUGACGGGUAACGGAGGAUCAGGGUCUGACUCCGGAGAGGGAGCCUGAGAAACGGCUACCACUUCUAAGGAAGGCAGCAGGCGCGCAAAUUACCCAUUCUCAGAACGAGGAGGUAGUGAAGAAAAAUACCAAGAGGAGGCUCAUUGAGUUUCCUCAUUGGAAUGAGUACAAUCUAAAUCUUUUAACGAGGAUCUAGUGGAGGGCAAGUCUGGUGCCAGCAGCCGCGGUAAUUCCAGCUCCGCAAGUGUAUUCCUAUACUGUUGCGGUUAAAAAGCUCGUAGUUGGAUCUGAGUGCUUAGCGCCUGGUGCAGUUCUGCUGUUACUGGGUGCGGCACAUGAUUAGUCAAUUGGUUGCUGUUGUUGCCUUCACGGGUGAUGGCAGUGGACUGUUGACAAGUUUACUUUGAACAAAUCAGAGUGCUCAAUACAGGCGUUUCGCUUGAAUGGUUGUGCAUGG
RNAcentral lists this ribosomal RNA (700 nucleotides) under Diplolaimelloides meyli. RNAcentral describes it as "SSU rRNA". It matches the Rfam family "Eukaryotic small subunit ribosomal RNA", at positions 101 to 812 of the family's 1831-position model. The record is from RNAcentral. Lineage: Eukaryota; Metazoa; Nematoda; Chromadorea; Monhysterida; Monhysteridae.